UCGAGAAUUUUUCUCAAUGGGGGAAACCCUGAAGGAGCGACGCCGCGUGGAGGAUGAAGGUCUUCGGAUUGUAAACUCCUGUCAUUGAAGAACAAAAUACGUAAGUUAACUGCUUAUGUGUCGAUAGUAUUCGAAGAGGAAGGGACGGCUAACUCUGUGCCAGCAGCCGCGGUAAUACAGAGGUCCCAAGCGUUGUUCGGAUUCAUUGGGCGUAAAGGGAGCGUAGGUGGUCGGGUAAGUCAGAUGUCAAAUUUCGAUGCUCAACGUCGAAUCGCAUUUGAUACUGCCUGGCUAGAGGAAUUGAGAGGAGGCCGGAAUUCACGGUGUAGCAGUGAAAUGCGUAGAUAUCGUGAGGAAGACCAACGGCGAAAGCAGGCCUCUGGAAAUUUCCUGACACUGAGGCUCGAAGGCCAGGGGAGCAAACGGGAUUAGAUACCCCCGUAGUCC
Molecule: ribosomal RNA, 447 nt
Filed under: uncultured bacterium
Lineage: Bacteria
Description: bacterial SSU rRNA
Rfam family: Bacterial small subunit ribosomal RNA
Source: RNAcentral